Molecule: ribosomal RNA, 253 nt
Filed under: uncultured bacterium
Lineage: Bacteria
Description: partial 16S ribosomal RNA
Rfam family: Bacterial small subunit ribosomal RNA
Source: RNAcentral
UACGGGGGGGGCAAGCGUUGUUCGGAUUUACUGGGCGUAAAGAGCGCGCAGGCGGUCGAUCAAGUCGAGUGUGAAAGCCCCCGGCUCAACUGGGGAGGGUCAUUCGAUACUGAUCGACUCGAAGGCAGGAGAGGGUAGUGGAAUUCCCGGUGUAGUGGUGAAAUGCGUAGAUAUCGGGAGGAACACCAGUGGCGAAGGCGACUACCUGGCCUGUUCUUGACGCUGAGGCGCGAAAGCUAGGGGAGCAAACGGG